CACAAACCUACCAGAUGCCAGUGGCAUGGCCAGCUCUCACCUUGCCAUCCUGACUGUGCCGGACACACUCUGAGGUGGUCCCAUGAUCAUCAGCUCCUGGGGGUCAUGCCCUGUGUAAUUCCCUCCCUUAAGUGUGGGCAGACCCUGUGAUCUCCUCCUAAUGAAUAAAAGAUGGCAAAGGUCAUUAUGCCACAUGAAGACAACAACGUCCACCUUGCUGGGGACUAUCUCACCUUCACUGGCUUUCAUGAAACAAGAAGCCAUGUUAAGAUGGAAGAAACAGAGGAUGGCCCCCAACAAACCCCAGCCCAGAACCAAGGCUUUCAGUCUUAGAGAUAUGGGGGAUGGAACUCCACCCAGGUCAGGAUGCUUCAUAGAAAUGGCUUUCUUCCAUCUUUGCUGGAGUCCACAUGUACCCUUCCGUCACAGUGUCUGGUUCAUCUGA
This 445-nucleotide long non-coding RNA is filed under the name Mustela putorius furo (domestic ferret). RNAcentral describes it as "lncRNA (ENSMPUG00000030946.1)". The record is from RNAcentral. Lineage: Eukaryota; Metazoa; Chordata; Mammalia; Carnivora; Mustelidae.